Molecule: ribosomal RNA, 512 nt
Filed under: uncultured bacterium
Lineage: Bacteria
Description: bacterial SSU rRNA
Rfam family: Bacterial small subunit ribosomal RNA
Source: RNAcentral
UAGUCCACGCCGUAAACGAUGGGUACUAGGCGUCGGGGGGAGCGACCCCUUCGGUGCCGUCGCUAACGCAGUAAGUACCCCGCCUGGGGAGUACGGCCGCAAGGCUGAAACUCAAAGGAAUUGACGGGGCCCGCACAAGCGGUGGAGCAUGUGGUUUAAUUCGAUGCAACGCGAAGAACCUUACCUGGACUUGACAUGUAUAUGUAAGCCUGCAGAAACGUAGGCCCCUCUUCGGAGCAUAUUCACAGGUGCUGCAUGGCUGUCGUCAGCUCGUGUCGUGAGAUGUUGGGUUAAGUCCCGCAACGAGCGCAACCCUUGCUCCCAGUUGCCAGCGGAUAACGCCGGGGACUCUGGGGGGACUGCCGGUGUCAAACCGGAGGAAGGUGGGGAUGACGUCGAGUCAUCAUGGCCCUUACGUCCAGGGCUACACACGUGCUACAAUGGCCGGUACAGAGCGUCGCCAACUCGCGAGAGUGAGCUAAUCGCAGAAAGCCGGUCUAAGUUCGGAUUGC